Molecule: ribosomal RNA, 503 nt
Filed under: Asaphes vulgaris
Lineage: Eukaryota; Metazoa; Arthropoda; Insecta; Hymenoptera
Also listed under: 1 other name
Description: partial 16S ribosomal RNA
Rfam family: Bacterial large subunit ribosomal RNA (bases 381-503)
Source: RNAcentral
GGUUUUUUGAAAAUAAUUUAAAAUCAAAUCUGCUCAAUGAAUUUUAAAUAGCUGCAGUAUCAUGACUGUACAAAGGUAGCAUAAUCAUUUGUCUUUUUAUUAAAGUCUAGUAUGAAUGAUUUAAUGAAAUAAAAUCUGUCUCAAAUUAAAAAUUAAAUUUUAUUAUAAGUUAAAAUUCUUAUAUUUAAUUAAAAGACGAGAAGACCCUAUAGAAUUUAAUAAUAUUAAAUUUUAUUUAUUAUAUAGAUAUUUUUUUAAAUAAUUUUUUUAUUAUUUUGUUGGGGUGACAAAAAAAAUUAAUAAAUUUUUUUAAUAAAUUAACAUUAAUUAAUGAAUAUAAUUUAUCCAUUUUUAAUGAAUAUAAAAUAAAUUACCUUAGGGAUAACAGCGUAAUUUUUUUAAAGAGAUCAUAUUGAUAAAAAAGUUUGCGACCUCGAUGUUGAAUUAAGAUAUAUUAAUAUUGUAGAAAAUAUUAUAUUAAGUCUGUUCGACUUUUAAAAUCU